CUACGGGAGGCUGCAGUGGGGAAUAUUGCACAAUGGGCGCAAGCCUGAUGCAGCCAUGCCGCGUGUAUGAAGAAGGCCUUCGGGUUGUAAAGUACUUUCAGCGGGGAGGAAGGGAGUAAAGUUAAUACCUUUGCUCAUUGACGUUACCCGCAGAAGAAGCACCGGCUAAGUCCGUGCCAGCAGCCGCGGUAAUACGGAGGGUGCAAGCGUUAAUCGGAAUUACUGGGCGUAAAGCGCACGCAGGCGGUUUGUUAAGUCAGAUGUGAAAUCCCCGGGCUCAACCUGGGAACUGCAUCUGAUACUGGCAAGCGUGAGUCUCGUAGAGGGGGGUAGAAUUCCAGGUGUAGUGGUGAAAUGCGUAGAGAUCUGGAGGAAUACCGGUGGCGAAGGCGGCCCCCUGGACGAAGACUGACGCUCAGGUGCGAAAGCGUGGGGAGCAAACAGGAUUAGAUACCCUCGUAGUC
This 464-nucleotide ribosomal RNA is filed under the name uncultured bacterium. Its description in RNAcentral is "partial 16S ribosomal RNA". It matches the Rfam family "Bacterial small subunit ribosomal RNA", at positions 339 to 795 of the family's 1533-position model. The record is from RNAcentral.